Molecule: long non-coding RNA, 1468 nt
Organism: Poecilia latipinna (sailfin molly)
Lineage: Eukaryota; Metazoa; Chordata; Actinopteri; Cyprinodontiformes; Poeciliidae
Exons: 3
Source: RefSeq, a predicted model, not a curated record
AAUUAUUGAGCGCAAUAAACAAUCCCUCCUCUUGGGGUUGCACGCGCAGGGCCUCUGCAGUCGAUGUUUGUGAAUUAACCCCGAGUCUAAAGUGUGGUGGAGGAACCGGAAGGAAAGAGGGAGCCCUCCAGGGAGUAGAAAAUGUCUCCUUUUUUUAAUUGUGGAAGCGGCGGCAGGCUCUUAUUGGACAGGGAGAGCUGAGAGAGUGUUAGCUGACCCCUCAGAGGAAACGUUAAUGCGUGUGUGUGCGCGCGCAGGAAUGCAGCGGCAACCGCUCUUAUCUCCAUUGCCCUCACCAUGGAAACUCUGUCAACACACAACUUCAUUGAGCCGUGGGGAGACAAAUCCUAUAUGAACCAAUUUCUCUAGACACGUAAAGAUCUGAUUACAACCAGACCUAUGCUUAACUAGAACCUGCCUGACAACAUGAAGUAGGUUAAAAGGUUUGAAAAGGCAACACUUCUUACCCUGAUCUACAUUCAAGAACUACCGAGAAGCAUACUGAGAAAUAUCUAUCAUUCUGGGAAGAGUCAUAAAGCCAUUUAUAAGCCUUUAGGAAUCUAGAGAAGCACACUUAGAAUCAUUAUUCACUAAUGGAGAAAACUUAGUACAAUAGUGAACCCUCCCAUAAUUAAAAAGUGGCUGGCCGAGAAAAACUACUCCAGGAGGUCACAGAAGAACCAAAAACUUUGCACACCUCACUUUGUCUUCAUGAACAUUAGAAUUAAUGAUCUAACAAUAAGAAAAAGAGACAAAAAUGGCCUCCAAAUGCCCACCUUAUAUUUAACCAAAACCAUCUUGAUGAUCCCCAAGAUAUUUUGUGGACUGAUGAGAAAGAAUUGGAUCUUUUUGGACGGUUUGUCUUGUUACAUCUGAAGUCGGCGGCAGCAUCAUUAUUUUGGGGCCCAAUGACGACCCAUAUAACCUCCAAGUCUGUUCCCUAUCAAAACAUCCUUAAAGGAGAAAGUGGGACUGAGUUAUUGAUGACUAGCUAGAAAUCCUCCAGAGCAGACACACCAGUCCUCCAACACGGCAUCUCCUUGUACGGCUGUGCCUCUGCAACAUGCCACUGCGCCGUCUCUCUGCCAGCCACUACAUCCUCUCAUGUAUACACAAAUAAGCGGUGUCAUCACUCUCCGCUUUGUCACUCUCCUCCUCUGUCUGUGGCGCGCGGCCAAGGAGAUGCUUACUGAAAGAUGAGCUUGCACCAACUGCAAAUGCCGCCUCGCAUCACAGGCCGGUUGGUAAACUAAAACUUAGGGAUAGCCGAUAGGUGUAAACACAACGUAGGAAGUAAUGGCUGAUUUGGAAUCUGUGGUCAGGAAAGGGCUGCUGAUUUAAGAGAACUCGGAUCUAAACGGACCAAAAAUUUCCUCUAUGUGCUCUGAAGGAUUUGUGAAUCAUUUUUUGACUCUGCAACAAGCAGACAAAAUGUAACCACUUCCAGCUUUAACGUUGCCUGUCUUUG